AGAAAUUGUCUAAUGUUGCACAUUGCGGUUUCAUAUUCUAUUGGGUCAGAUGCAGACGGAUACGUAACUUCCCCCUCCUUUCUCAUUGAAUUCUCCUGAAUUCGAUUUUCUACUUGAACUUUACAAACUUUACUAUUUGGUUUAAGGUAAGCAAGUAAGCAUUAUAUAAUAUAAUAUCAUCCAAAAAAAAUAGUGAUCGAUAAUUUUAACUUG
Hermetia illucens (black soldier fly) is the source of this 213-nucleotide long non-coding RNA. RefSeq lists it as uncharacterized. The record is from RefSeq and is a predicted model, not a curated record. NCBI's taxonomy places the organism in Eukaryota, Metazoa, Arthropoda, Insecta, Diptera, Stratiomyidae. The transcript has 3 exons.